This is an RNA transcript of Hevea brasiliensis (rubber tree), 998 nucleotides long. RefSeq lists it as uncharacterized. The record is from RefSeq and is a predicted model, not a curated record. The transcript is spliced from 4 exons. NCBI's taxonomy places the organism in Eukaryota, Viridiplantae, Streptophyta, Magnoliopsida, Malpighiales, Euphorbiaceae.
CAAAAAGUGGAAUAAGUCAUCUCAAGGAUAAGUCUCUUGUAAAUAUUUCAGAAAACAAGUUAGAGAUGCAUGAUUUGCAACAGCAAAUGGGCAAGGAUAUUGUUGACCAAGAAUGUAUAAAACAACCAGGAAAGCGUAGCAGGCUGUGGAACUACAAGGAUAUCUACCAUGCAUUAACCAAGGAUAAGUCGAAGGCAUGAUUCUGAACAUGUCCCAAAUUAAAGAUGUGGAACUAAGUUCUACAGUCUUCAUGAAAAUGGAAAAUCUUAGAUUCCUGAAAUUCUACAAUCCUUGCUCUGCAAAAAUCGAAGUGCAUUUUCCUAAAGGCCUCAAAUUGCUUCCUGAUGGGCUAAGUUUUCUUCAGUGGGAUGAAUACCUCUAAAGUUUUUUCCAUCAAAAUUUUCCCCCAAGAAUCUCAUUGAAUUUCACAUGCGUAAAAGCCAACUCAAACUACUUCGGAGUGAAGAUCAGAUUGCUGAAGAUUUACAAUUUAUGGACCUCAGCCAUUAUAUGAACCUAAUUAAAACACCAGAGUUGUCUAAAUUCCCAAAACUUGAGGUUUUGCAUUUGAAGGAUUGUACAAGUUUGGUUGGGAUUUCCACGUCUUUAAAGUUGCUCAAAAUUGGCGAGUCUUCCAGGCAGCACUGGCGAGUUGAAAUCUCUUCAGUAUCUUGAUCUCCAAGGAUGCUCAAACCUAGCAAGUCUUCCGGAUGGCAUUGGCGAGUUCAAAUAUCUUCAGCAUCUUGAUCUCGGGGGAUGCUCGAAACUAGGAAGCCUUCCAAGCAGCAUUUGUGAGUUGAAAUGUCUCCGUCAUCUUUAUCUUAAGGAAUGCUCAAAACUAGUAAGUGUUCCGAUUAGCAUCGGAGAGUUGACAUGUCUUAAGCAUCUUGAUCUCAAGGGAUGCUCAAAGCUAGGACACCUUCCAAUCAGCAUUGGCAAGUUGAAAUAUGAGAAUGUUUAUCUGAAUGGAUGUUCAAAACUAACGAGUCUUCCAGGCA